UACGUAGGGUGCAAGCGUUGUCCGGAAUUAUUGGGCGUAAAGAGCUCGUAGGCGGUUUGUCGCGUCUGCUGUGAAAACCCGAGGCUCAACCUCGGGCCUGCAGUGGGUACGGGCAGACUAGAGUGUGGUAGGGGAGACUGGAAUUCCUGGUGUAGCGGUGAAAUGCGCAGAUAUCAGGAGGAACACCAAUGGGCGAAGGCAGCUCGCUGGGACGUGACUGAC
This 222-nucleotide ribosomal RNA is filed under the name uncultured bacterium. Its description in RNAcentral is "partial 16S ribosomal RNA". It matches the Rfam family "Bacterial small subunit ribosomal RNA", at positions 524 to 744 of the family's 1533-position model. The record is from RNAcentral.